GCUUCAAUACUUUGGCUAAUCGUCGAGUUUCAGUUUGAUAUUGGUACAAGUUUUCUGUACGCAUGAUUGCGACAAGAAAUGAUGUAUAGUUUUUGAGAUUAUGUUCAUGAUCGUCUGGAUAUGUUGCUAGCGUUUAGACGAAUAUUAAGAUUGUCGUUUGCCUAUUCUUGACGAUUUGCAGAAGUUUUUUUGAAGUUUGGGAGUAUACGA
RNAcentral lists this long non-coding RNA (210 nucleotides) under Brassica rapa (field mustard). RNAcentral's name for it is "long non-coding RNA (BRAP_LNC004945)". The record is from RNAcentral. Lineage: Eukaryota; Viridiplantae; Streptophyta; Magnoliopsida; Brassicales; Brassicaceae.